Long non-coding RNA from Passer domesticus (house sparrow), 3538 nucleotides. RefSeq lists it as uncharacterized. The transcript is spliced from 3 exons. The record is from RefSeq and is a predicted model, not a curated record. Lineage: Eukaryota; Metazoa; Chordata; Aves; Passeriformes; Passeridae.
UUUUGUUGUCUAAUUUUGCGGUUUGCAGGUUCCUUUCUCAACCUAAAGAGGCAAAAAAAGUAUAUAUGGUGCAUGGUGCAGUAAAAAGGAGGAAAUAAUGACACUCAGAUAUUCUUCUAUUUAACACUUAAGCAUUGGAUAAUUCUAGAUGCCAUUAUAAUUAUCAGAGUGUAGGCUACUGAGAGCGUCACGUCAUGCAUCAUAUUUUAUGUUUCAAAUAGUAUUGCUAAAACCAGAAGAUUUUUGUUUUAUUUGGCAUGUCUUCCAUCUCUUGAAGUUCUUUAUUUUAACACUGUUGAGACCUUAAUAUUGCAAGUCACAUCUUAUCAAGCAGCUCUACUGUAUGAAUGUGCCAAGACAAUUAACUUCAUUAACUUUUUAUUCUUUCCAGAUUCACAAAAGAAGGGAGUAAGAAAUGAAAAAUUAAUUGUAAUGUUGUUUGCACUUCCUUACACUAUGUAGAAAUUGAAAUGAAGCAGUGAAAAUAAUGGAUCAUGUUGUUCUGAUAAAGUAUAAUUGUCUAUGCAAAUCCACGUACAUUAAUUCUUCUUGUAAGCCAGUUGUUAAAGUGCUUCAGUAUACCUCUAGUGGUGUUAGUGGUCUUAGCUCUUACCACCUAGCUAGUAUUUUAUUUGGUGUUUUCAAAAGUCUGCACUACAGAUUCUAGUACUCAAAGAGUGUUCAUAUAUCUCCAGGGCUGUAAGUAAUGUAUUAAUAUAAUGGGCAUGCAUGGCACUGUUUUCUUUUUAUUUUCCCUGCUCCCCACUGCUGCUAGAAAGAGGAUGUGUGAUAAUGACUCUGUGAAGACACUGGUGUAAUGAAAAUUUGGCUAAUGACUCUAAGGGCCUUAUACUGUUGUAUACAGUACACAAUGCUGUUUACAGAAACACUUUUUCACAUAAAACAGGAAGUCAGUAAUUGCAAUUCUGACUUGCACUGCAAAUGUUUUCAUCUGUCCUUUUUAAAUAUAUGUUUGAUUGGCAUAAGAAAAGACAAAGUUAUAACCUGACAAUUUUUAAAAGACCUUUCUAUUUAUUUGCAUUUUAUUAAUAAUACAAGAGAAUUAGCCUUGGAAUUAGUGACAGUUCAUAAAAUAUAUUAAUCUCUUGGAUUAUUGUUCAUCUCUGUCCUCCAUUGUCAUGUCCUAAUCAAUAUCCCUUAUACCUGUUCUAAGGAUUAUAGAAUGACUGUACGAGUGUUUUGAAUUCACAAGCCAGUAAUUUAGCUGGACCACAGGUGUGAUGUAGAGAAGACCAACAAAGCAGGAAACACAAAGAACAGUUCUCUCAAAAAUUCUUCCUGCCAAAAAAUAAAUUUUGCACCUUUAAGACUGGCUCCAAGAGCAAAGGGAGAAGAAGCGUGGAGUUCAUUUUCGGAAACUGCACUUGCUCCCCUGCAUCCUUCUCCUGGACUGCAUUGUCUGCAGCACAGACAGAUGGUAGGACAGAGCUCUCCUUUGCUUUUAGUUAGUUUUAGCUAGAUGAGGCAGAGAAGUUCCCUGGACUGUGUUUUUUGUUUUUCUUGGAACUGUUUGGGCCUGCUCUGGACUGAACACCCAGAAGAGCACCAGCAGCUCCACCUGUGGCCACUGGGCUGGGUCUGGGCCGCGGCAUAUGUAGGGCCAGAGGGACUGAUCAGAGACUGAGUGAGCCACGCUACAGCCCACGGAGGAGACUUUCAGAGUUUGUCAUCUCUUCAGAGCGGCGAGAGGUUUUACUGUUUAAUACUGUUCAUCUUUUGUGCUGGUAAAUGCUUUGCCUGUUAAAUAAAAGGGUUUUUUUCCCACGUACCCCCAAGGAAAUCUCCCAAACCGACUGUGGGAGGGGCUGCUUGAAUCUGCUCUCUAGAGAAAAGCACGUUCAUGUGUCCUGGUUUUGGGCAAAUUUGGGAGAAAACCUUCAAACACAUGAACAUUAACACAAAUUGCUUGCCCAAUCCUGCUUUGCUGUCUUGGGAAAUCCUCAGAUUUCCUAUUUUAUAUUUUAGGAAAUUAAUCUAUUGAAAUCAUAUACAUUAUGGGAAAUAACCUAGUCACCACCAAAUGGCUAAAAUGUCAUUACUUUGAAAUUCUGGAAAGCAAUGAUAAGUCUGUCUGCAUGACCUCUGGAAUUCCAAUUUGGAUAUCAACACAAACAAAAAUCCAGCAGUAGCUUGAAAGAAGAGUGGGACAACUUAUGACAAGAAUACUGUCUUCAUAUGAAUUCAUGCUGACAGGUUUCUCUGUGCUUAACUGGCAUGAUAAUUUUUUACGCAUAAUUCAGAACGCAGCAUAGAACCACUGGCAUGGGGUGGGGUAGGUGUAGUGGCAUGCCACAUUGGACUUCAUCCCAACUUCAGGAUAGUUUUCUGAGUGUACAUGAUAAUAAAGAAGAAUUUCACUACUCCACAAUGGGUGCAAUUUACUCAGUUACUUCCACAUUCCAGUGUUGUGGAGGGCAGAGGUUUAUUUUCCAUUCAUUGUAUAUUCACCAGAAGUAAUCUGGUUGCCAUGAACGAUCUAUUCUACUGUACAAGUGCCUUUAAGGAAAUCAUCUACCUACUCGAUAAGAAACAUAUUCAGCUGCUCUUUUUGUCUUGAUGCAUGCAGCUGUCUUAGGUGAUGAGCAGCUGUGUACAUGUGAAGGUGGGAAAGGCAGACUGGGAGGGAAUCAGUCUUUCUAGAAAAAUAUGAAUUCUGUUCUGGUUACUGCAUGUUACCCAGGAAAGCAAAGUAUGAUAGCACAGUUCACAAAAGUUCAUUUUUGCUCCAGAAGCAAAAAAAUUUAAAAAAAAUAUUCUAUUGAAGUCAGACCAGAUCCCACAUGGAUUAUGCUUGAUUACAUGAAAAGAAUUUUACUCCAAAGGAAAUUGCUGUAAUACCUAAGCAGUUUAAAUUGAAUAAAAAUAAGAUCAAAAGACCAUUCAGAAAUCAUAAUUCAAAUCUACUCAUUUCCUUAUGUGAACACCAUUGUGGACAACACAAAGCUGAAAUUCUGUGUAAAGUGAAGUUUAAGUCCCUGAACAACUUCAGGCAAUUUUUGUAAAAUUUCACUCACCGUUUAGUUUAGUGAAGUAAAUACGUAUUUUUUAUUACUCAGGGAAUUGGCAGAUGUAAUUGUUCUGGAAAAAUCAAGUAUCUCUGGUGGGGAAACUUAAAGAACAACAAAACAAAAACAUCACCUGGUUUUGAAGGUACUUCUUAUAGGGCAAGCCUCUCAUGGGACAAUCUCUCCAUCUGACUCUGCAUGUGUGUAAUGAGUAGGAUUUCUGUAUGCAUUUUAAUUAUUGUGCUGAUAGCUCCAAAAGUAAUCCUUGAGUCUCCCUAUCCUAACAUCCUAGACCAUGAUGUUUGGAGCUCUGAGCAGCCUGGUCUGCUGAGUGUUCCUGCCUAUGGCAGGAGAAUUGAAACUAGAUGAUAUUUAAGGUCCCUUACAAUCCAGGCCAUUCUUUGAUUCUGCAACAAUUCCAGUAAUGUUAAAUUAAUCAGUCUGCUCUCCCAAAACUGUGCUACUGAACACAUAAUAAUGUAAACUUCACUAUCUCUUUCUGAUAAAUUAAA